Pelodiscus sinensis (Chinese soft-shelled turtle) is the source of this 822-nucleotide non-coding RNA. The record is from RefSeq and is a predicted model, not a curated record. Lineage: Eukaryota; Metazoa; Chordata; Testudines; Trionychidae.
UAAAAGACAGUGGAGCGUCCAAAUAGCCUGACAGCUCCAAGGGGGAAUUCAGCUUGGAGACACAUGCACCUUAUUCUGAUGGCUUGAAGGCUUAGCAAACUUCCUAAUCAGAGACACAGUGGAAACAUCAGAGAACAGACAUUCCCUAGGGAUACUCUCAAGGAAGGUGCAGUGCCUGGAGACAUGUGACAGAGCCUUCUGGACUCUGAAGGACCAGCUGACCCUGCCAAUUUGGUUUCAGCCUGACUUAUCAUAGGUGUUCAUCCUCAGAUGGAUAAGAAAGAAAGAAAGAAAGAAAGAAAGAAAGAAAGAAAGAAAGAAAGAAAGAAAGAAAGAAAGAAAGAAAGAAGCCAUAAUGUACACAGGGAAGACCAUAACCACCCCCAGCUGGAAGGAGAAAGGAAGAUUGAAUAUGGGUAGGUUUGUGAGUAGGCUUGUCCAAUGUUGGCAUAUUUCUUUGAGAACUUUUAUUGUAUUGAUUUGACUCUGUGCACAGAGUAUGUGUAUGUUUUUAUUUUCUACAAAGCUAAAACCAUGUCAGAUUAAAUGACAAAUGAAAUGGCCAUCAGUUUUCAUGUAAAUGCAUAUGAAGUUUUGACAAUGAGGGUUGUUAUACUGACCUAUACAUACAGCUCUCAGGCCCUAGGUACCACCCCAUCAAAAAACAUUAAUGAAUUGACAGAAAUUCAGAGAAAAACAACAGUUAAUAAAGGCGUAAAGGCAAUGAGUUAUGUGGAAAGAUUUAUGAAAAAAUAUGUAUUGUUUAGUAUAAUUAUUAAAUAUAACCACCAUGCAAGAAUGUGAAAGAUUUAAAUACCAAGA